CUAACCCAAGCCCAGAAGUCUACACAGCAAAGAAACAGCCCCACAGGCUGAGCCCCAUGAGCCUGUGUCAGCUGGCACGGGCCAGGCAUGGGUGUCUAGUUGCUAUUCAGUCAUACCCCUCAGAGGGUUGGAGUGGAUGCAUUUACUUUUAAAUCAGCUAGAUCUGCUCCAGUGGACCAAGGUUUUCUAAUUUUCCUCUUGACAAAAGAAACCAGGCGUGCAGCCUAGAAAUGCUACAACAGUCUCCUGUAGCCAGAUAUUUGAAACACCUAGCCAUCUGCUUUUAAUGAUGUUACUGAAAGACUACACUCAAAAUAAUAUGCCUGGCAUUUUUUAAGGACAACAGAACUUUGUAAUAAUAUAUUGACUCACAGAUUUUUAAGGCCAAAUUGGACCAUUGGAAUCACCUUGUCUGACCUCUUGCAUAAUACAUGCCAUGGAAUUUCACCAACUGAUUCCUGCAUCACUCCCAGUAAUUUCUGAUUGAACUAGUGCAUAAUUUUUAGAAAGAAUUGCCUGGGAUUAUUGCUGGAGAAAGAGUUGGCACCAGAGUAUGAAGAAUCAAAUGAAUUUGCUAAUCUCAGACCCAUGAAAGCUGCUGUCUUCAUGGAUACCAUCGAAGCACAGCAGAGGGAUGAAGAAUAAACCAGACCAACAGCCACCAGAUGGAAUUUUUCAAAUAGUUUCUAUUUCCUUCCUUUUCUUUGUCUUAAAUUUCCCUCUCAGUUUUUCUAUAUAUGCCCCAGAAUAAAUCGUUGCAGUGGUGGUAAACUA
Mauremys reevesii (Reeves's turtle) is the source of this 774-nucleotide long non-coding RNA. RefSeq lists it as uncharacterized. The record is from RefSeq and is a predicted model, not a curated record. Lineage: Eukaryota; Metazoa; Chordata; Testudines; Geoemydidae. The transcript has 3 exons.